Molecule: transfer RNA, 72 nt
Filed under: Camelus bactrianus (Bactrian camel)
Lineage: Eukaryota; Metazoa; Chordata; Mammalia; Artiodactyla; Camelidae
Also listed under: 2 other names
Rfam family: tRNA
About the family: Transfer RNA (tRNA) molecules are approximately 80 nucleotides in length. Their secondary structure includes four short double-helical elements and three loops (D, anti-codon, and T loops). Further hydrogen bonds mediate the characteristic L-shaped molecular structure. tRNAs have two regions of fundamental functional importance: the anti-codon, which is responsible for specific mRNA codon recognition, and the 3' end, to which the tRNAs corresponding amino acid is attached (by aminoacyl-tRNA synthetases). tRNAs cope with the degeneracy of the genetic code in two manners: having more than one tRNA (with a specific anti-codon) for a particular amino acid; and 'wobble' base-pairing, i.e. permitting non-standard base-pairing at the 3rd anti-codon position.
Source: Rfam by way of RNAcentral
GUGGGUACAGCCCAGUGGUAGAGCAUGUGCUUUAGCAUGCACGAGGUCCUGGGUUCAAUUCCCAGAACCACC